GGGAGUACGGAGGCGUCGGGAUCAGGUGGCGGCGAUUCGGGUCUCGGUGGGACUGGUUCCUUUAGUGAGGCAACCUCUCGGCAUAUUGAGGGGGGGUUUCGUUGUGCUUUUUGUUCGUCGGGUGACUGGCGGAUGGGAGGUGUGGCGGAGUCUCUUUUUUUUUGUGUCGGGAAUGUCUCGCGGGGGCUGGCUCUAUUGUUAUUCGGUCGUCGUCAUCCCCGGCGAUACCUUCUGCUCUCGCGUCCGUCACGCAGUCUUCUUAGAGGGACAAGCGGCGUCCAGCCGCGUGACAGUGAGCAAUAACAGGUCUGUGAUGCCCUUAGAUGUCCUGGGCCGCACGCGCGCUACACUGAAGGAAUCAGCGUGUUUCACUCUCCCUGUCCGAAAGGACCGGGUAACCGCUGAACCUCCUUCGUGGUUGGGAUUGGGGACUGC
This 435-nucleotide ribosomal RNA is filed under the name Daphnia parvula. Its description in RNAcentral is "partial 18S ribosomal RNA". It matches the Rfam family "Eukaryotic small subunit ribosomal RNA", at positions 1361 to 1587 of the family's 1831-position model. Lineage: Eukaryota; Metazoa; Arthropoda; Branchiopoda; Diplostraca; Daphniidae. The record is from RNAcentral.